RNAcentral lists this long non-coding RNA (1154 nucleotides) under Marmota monax (woodchuck). Lineage: Eukaryota; Metazoa; Chordata; Mammalia; Rodentia; Sciuridae. The record is from RNAcentral.
AUUAACUGGGUGGUGACUGAAGGCAGGUAGGAAGUGGCUGAGUGUGGUAUCCCACUGAUGGUGGGCCUUUGGGUUUGUGUUUUGUCUCUGGUGAUUGACGUUUUCCAUUUGGUUUCUUGCCUUUAUGACCUGUACAGUUUUCGUCUUAGUUUUCUCUACAUUUUUUAAUUGUUGUAUUAUAUUUGUGCAUGUGGAUGGGAUUUGUUUCUCCACACCUGUCCUGCACACAGUAAGACAACAUAAAGUGGCCAACAUCACUCCCCAGCAUUUUCCUACUCCCCUGGUUCCUCCCAUCCUUUGCUCCUUUCCUUUACUGAUCUUUAUUUAUUUUUUAGGAGAUCCACACCCACCCUUACUUUCCUUUUUCUUCUCUAGCUUCCACAUAUUAAAGAAAAUAUACUACUCCUAUCUCUCUUAGUUUGACUUAUUUCCCUUGACAGGAGGGUCUCUUUUUCCAUCCAUUUCCCUGCAAAUAACAGAGUUUCAUUUUUCUUUCUGACUAAAUAAAACUCCACUAUGUACAGAUACCACAUUUUCUGUGUGAGUUCAUCUGUUGAUGGACACUGAGGCUGGUUCCAUAGUCUAGCUAGUGUGAAUUGUGCUGCCAUAAACAUGGGUAUGCAUUUGUCACCACAGUACAAUUACUUUAAUUCUUCAGGGCACAUACUGAAAAGUUUUAUACCUGGGUCAUAUGGUGGUUCCAUGCCUAGUCUUGAGACUCCUCCCUACUGAUUUCCAUUGUGGAUAGACUCAUUGACAGUCUCACGAACAGUGAAAAAGUUUUCCAUUUUAUCCACGUCCUCUCUUGAAUUAAUUUUUAUUUCUGUUUUUGAAGAUUGCCAUUCUGACUGGUAUGAGAUGAGAUCCCUGUUUAGUUUUGAUUUGCUUUUCUCUAAUUGCUAAGGCUGUUGAACCUUUUUUUAUGUAUUAGAUGGCCAUUUCUAUUUCUCCUUUUGAGAAGUGUCUGUUCAGUUUAAUUGCCCAUUUAGAAGGUGGGUUUCUGAUUGUUUUAUGUUUUAGCAUUUUCUGAGAUCUUUAUACAUUGUGGAUGUAAAUCCCCAGUCAGAAUAAUAGCUAGCCAAGCUGUUUUCCUUUCUGUCGAUUCUCUCUUCACAUUCCCAAUUGUGACCUUUGCUGUGCAGAAGCAUUUUAAU